UUAUUUAAGGUCUGCUAAUGCUAUUGUUAUGCUUAAUUUGCUGUUCUGGGCAUGUCCAUUUUUUUUCCAAGUUCAUAGUGAUGAUGAAUAUUCUGUUGUGAUAAACCCUUAUACUAUUUUCCAGAACUCCAAUUCAUGUUGGGUGGGUUGCUAUUUGUUACAUGUUGCUUGAAAAUUACUAUGCCAGGCCAUGAUUAUUUGUUAAUACUGGUUGAUGUUUGGCUCAUGAUGUUGCUUACUGCUGUUCUAACCCUAAAACCCGCCAAGAAAUUUCAUGAGUAUGAUGUAUGCUGUUGUUCAUGAUUGGUUUUUGAAUGCAACAUGAAUGCCAUGCUGCUUGCUUGAUGCUUAUUUUUUUUUUGAGUUCAUAAUGAUGGAAAUUGCUAUUGACUGCUUGCUAAAUCCAUGCUGAUGUAUGUUUGUGCUAAGUCAUUUUGAUGUUAGUUGAUGUUAGUUAUUGCAUGAGCAUUGAGGCUGGUUAGGUUUAUUUUGUUCAUGGUUGAUAAAUGAUGUUGCCAUACCAUUACUAUGCUAUUGUUUGUGUUGGAAGCAUGAGAAUACAUGAUACAUGUUGUUGCUGCAUAUGCCCUGCUGCAGUUUUGAAUUCCCACGAGCAUUGUCUUGUUUCCAUGAGCUGAACCUGUUAGCCAUGCUUUUGUUUGUUUGCUUGUUGGUUGGAACUUCAAUUGAUGAUUGAUAAUGAUGAACACUGAAUGGUGCAUACUGCUGUAUAAAGAAAC
Molecule: long non-coding RNA, 740 nt
Filed under: Lathyrus oleraceus (garden pea)
Lineage: Eukaryota; Viridiplantae; Streptophyta; Magnoliopsida; Fabales; Fabaceae
Description: Pisum sativum (pea) long non-coding RNA (PSAT_LNC015549)
Source: RNAcentral